UACGGGGGGGGCAAGCGUUGUUCGGAAUUACUGGGCGUAAAGGGCUCGUAGGCGGCCAACUAAGUCGGACGUGAAAUCCCCAGGCUCAACCUGGGAACUGCGUCCGAUACUGGAUGGCUUGAAUUCGGGAGAGGGAUGCAGAAUUCCAGGUGUAGCGGUGAAACGCGUAGAUAUCUGGAGGAAUACCGGUGGCGAAGGCGGCAUCCUGGACCGACAUUGACGCUGAGGAGCGAAAGCUAGGGGAGCAAACGGG
Molecule: ribosomal RNA, 253 nt
Filed under: uncultured bacterium
Lineage: Bacteria
Description: partial 16S ribosomal RNA
Rfam family: Bacterial small subunit ribosomal RNA
Source: RNAcentral